RNAcentral lists this transfer RNA (66 nucleotides) under Myopus schisticolor (wood lemming). RNAcentral's name for it is "tRNA-Thr". It matches the Rfam family "tRNA". From Rfam's summary of the family: Transfer RNA (tRNA) molecules are approximately 80 nucleotides in length. Their secondary structure includes four short double-helical elements and three loops (D, anti-codon, and T loops). The record is from RNAcentral. Lineage: Eukaryota; Metazoa; Chordata; Mammalia; Rodentia; Cricetidae.
GCCCUGAUAGUAUAAACAUUACACUGGCCUUGUAAACCAGAAAUGAAAGUCAUUUUUCUCAGGACA